RNAcentral lists this ribosomal RNA (492 nucleotides) under uncultured bacterium. Its description in RNAcentral is "partial 16S ribosomal RNA". It matches the Rfam family "Bacterial small subunit ribosomal RNA", at positions 29 to 507 of the family's 1533-position model. The record is from RNAcentral.
AUUGAACGCUGGCGGCAUGCUUUACACAUGCAAGUCGAACGGUAACAGGCCUUCGGGUGCUGACGAGUGGCGAACGGGUGAGUAAUGCAUCGGAACGUACCCAGAGGUGGGGGAUAACGCAGCGAAAGCUGUGCUAAUGCCGCAUGUGAUCUGAGGAUGAAAGCGGGGGACCGAGCAGCAAUGUUUGGCCUCGCGCCUUUGGAGCGGCCGAUGUCGGAUUAGCUAGUUGGUGGGGUAAAGGCCUACCAAGGCGACGAUCCGUAGCUGGUCUGAGAGGACGACCAGCCACACUGGGACUGAGACACGGCCCAGACUCCUACGGGAGGCAGCAGUGGGGAAUUUUGGACAAUGGGCGCAAGCCUGAUCCAGCAAUGCCGCGUGCGGGAAGAAGGCCUUCGGGUUGUAAACCGCUUUUGGCAGGAACGAAACGGUGUCCGCUAAUACCGGGCGCUAAUGACGGUACCUGCAGAAUAAGCACCGGCUAACUACGUG